Molecule: RNA transcript, 2349 nt
Organism: Cynara cardunculus var. scolymus (artichoke)
Lineage: Eukaryota; Viridiplantae; Streptophyta; Magnoliopsida; Asterales; Asteraceae
Gene name: ABC transporter E family member 2-like
Exons: 11
Source: RefSeq, a predicted model, not a curated record
ACUCGUUCCGAACAUACUUCUGAAUUGUGUGGGUGCGUUUUCGAUCCUUUCAUCAAUGGCCGAUAGAUUGACGCGUAUCGCUAUUAUCAAGGAAGACCGUUGCAAGCCAAAGAAGUGCCGGCAAGAAUGCAAAAAGAGCUGCCCUGUUGUAAAAAUUGGUAAAUUGUGUAUCGAGGUCACUUCUGCAUCUAAGACUGCUUAUAUCUCUGAAGAGCUUUGCAUAGGGUGUGGUAUAUGUGUCAAGAAAUGCCCAUUUGGAGCAAUUGAGAUCAUUAAUUUACCGAAAGAUUUGGACAAAGAUACAACUCACCGUUAUGGGGUCAACAGCUUUAAAUUACACAGGUUGCCGGUUCCGCGUCCAGGGCAAGUUCUUGGUCUGGUUGGAACAAACGGCAUUGGGAAGUCUACUGCCCUCAAAGUUUUGGCUGGGAAAUUGAAACCCAAUUUGGGGCGUUUUAGUAACCCCCCAGAUUGGCAAGAAAUUUUGACCUACUUCCGAGGAUCUGAGUUGCAAAAUUACUUCACACGUAUUCUGGAAGAUAAUCUAAAGGCUAUCAUAAAACCCCAGUAUGUUGACCAUAUUCCAAAAGCAGUUCAAGGGAAUGUUGGACAAGUGCUUGAUCAAAAAGACGAGAGAGGUGUAAAGGAAGAGCUCUGUGUUGAUCUUCAGCUAAAUCAAGUUAUAGAUCGUAAUGUAGGAGAUCUGUCUGGUGGAGAACUUCAGAGGUUUGCCAUUGCUGUUGUUGCCAUACAGAAUGCAGAGAUAUAUAUGUUUGAUGAGCCCUCAAGCUACCUCGAUGUUAAACAAAGGCUUAAAGCUGCCCAAGUUAUCAGAUCCUUGCUCAGACCUGAUAGCUAUGUGAUUGUUGUUGAGCAUGAUCUAAGUGUCCUAGAUUACCUAUCAGAUUUUAUCUGCUGCCUCUAUGGGAAACCUGGUGCAUAUGGUGUUGUAACACUACCCUUCUCCGUCAGAGAAGGAAUUAAUAUAUUUUUGGAGGGGAAGGUGCCUACUGAAAAUCUACGGUUCCGUGAAGUAUCUCUUACUUUCAAGGUUGCUGAGACACCGCAGGAAAGUGCAGAGGAAAUUGAAACAUAUGCACGCUAUAAAUACCCAACUAUGUCUAAAACUCAGGGUGGUUUCAAACUGAAUGUGGCCGAGGGUGAAUUCACAGACUCUCAGAUCAUAGUGAUGCUUGGUGAGAAUGGAACUGGGAAGACGACGUUUAUCCGCAUGCUGGCUGGUAUACUGAAGCCUGACACUAUUGAAGGCACUGAUGUCGAGAUACCUGAGUAUAAUGUUUCAUACAAGCCCCAAAAAAUCAGUCCGAAGUUUCCACAUUCAGUCAGGCACUUGUUACAUCAAAAGAUUCGAGACUCAUAUAUGCAUCCACAGUUUGUUUCUGACGUCAUGAAGCCUCUUCAAAUUGAGCAACUAAUGGAUCAAGAAGUUGUGAACCUUUCUGGUGGAGAAUUGCAACGAGUUGCAUUAUGCCUGUGCCUAGGGAAGUGUUUCCCUUCUGUUUCAGCCUGCCGAUAUAUACUUGAUCGAUGAACCAAGUGCAUACCUGGACUCUGAGCAGCGUAUUGUUGCUUCAAAAGUUAUAAAGAGAUUCAUACUCCAUGCAAAGAAGACUGCUUUCGUGGUUGAACAUGACUUCAUAAUGGCAACUUAUCUAGCAGAUAGAGUCAUUGUUUAUGAAGGAAAUCCAUCAAUAGAUUGUACUGCAAAUGCACCUCAGUCGCUAUUGACCGGAAUGAACCUCUUCUUAUCUCAUCUGAACAUCACAUUCAGGCGUGACCCGACUAAUUAUCGGCCAAGAAUUAACAAGCUUGACUCAACCAAGGACAGGGAGCAGAAGGGUGCUGGAUCAUAUUAUUAUCUGGAUGAUUAAUUUUCUGUUCAACUCAGCAAGAGCAAAACAAACACAGGUAAUAGUGAUCAGUUCUGUACCAUAUCCAUAUGGGUGCUCGUACCAUUCCAAGUCAACAUGUUGACUAUGAGUUUUAGCUUAACACGCUCGCUUUCUAGUACAUUCUAGAAUGUUUAUGUUUUCUUUCAAAGGAAUCUGGGGGAGGUUGACAGUUUUCUCCCUUUGAUGAGAUCCAUCUCCUUCCUGCAUCAUAUGAUUCUGUGACAAAAGUAAUUAUAGGAAGGAGAACAACUUUAUUCUGUAUCUGGUAUUCGACCAAGUUUUGAACAAACCAUAUGCUACUUUAAACCAUUUUCUGGGUUUCUGUUCUGUGAGUUUUGCCUAUACGGUUGAGUCUUUAUUUCAAAGUCAGCAACAUUCAGAUGUACCCCUGAACUUGUUUUGUUUUUAAUCUGUAUUUGAAGCUUAUCUAGGACCU